Molecule: microRNA, 17 nt
Filed under: Corchorus capsularis
Lineage: Eukaryota; Viridiplantae; Streptophyta; Magnoliopsida; Malvales; Malvaceae
Description: sRNA CCACVL1_19535
Source: RNAcentral
UAAGUGCUGCAAUGCUU